UCGACUGAAACGACAUCUGGUUUUCCCGUCAUUCAAACAAUGUCUCCGUGACUGCAACUUUCUUGUUUGCUGGUUGCACAAACUGGAAAAAUUGCCGUAAUUGUCCUGCGUAGCACCCUAUAAAUACUGAGCGUCUCGCCAAUGGUACAUCAGUGUUUAGAAUACUAUACGAGUAUAGUUCUUCGCAUGAAGAUGCGCUUUCUGUGCCUCCUGUUUCUCGCUGCCUUCGCUUGCGGCGCUGUUUCUCUGACGCUGCCUCCACCUCCACAAGAAAAUACCACAAAGAAGGAUGAUGAACUCGCCACUGUGUCGGCUGUAGCGUCUCAACAAGAACCCACUCCCCAGGCAUUGUCCGAAACCGACGAUGUGUCACGAGAACUGGAUGAGCUGAUGUCUCUGAUGUCAGAGGACGAAGAGGCGACCUAUUUUGUCAGAGGCAUUGCGAGAGUUCUCAGAAGGAGAAAGUCCAAGUCAAAGAAGAAGUCAAGGAGAGGAAGGGGACGCUGUGGCUGCAAGGGCUAAAAUAAGGCAUCAAGGCCGACAAAAACGUUCUUACAUUUUGUAUGUGUAUCGAGAAAACAAGAUUCGCGGUGAUUGCGUAGUAUAUCGCGUGGGGUUUGAAUUCGAAACCUCUUGCAGAAACGACUGGUCUGCAGGAAAUGAAAGAUGAUUAAUAAACGUAUCCUUAAAUGUGA
This is a long non-coding RNA of Ornithodoros turicata, 695 nucleotides long. RefSeq lists it as uncharacterized. The transcript is spliced from 2 exons. NCBI's taxonomy places the organism in Eukaryota, Metazoa, Arthropoda, Arachnida, Ixodida, Argasidae. The record is from RefSeq and is a predicted model, not a curated record.